AAGACCUUACAAUGUCCCGUCUCCAAUCCAAGGUCAGUAGCUCGGCAAACCCGGUGCCGCGGAAAUCCAUCACAUGAAGAAUUUUCUACAACGCCGUUCUGGUGAACUGCAGAGCCAGAUCCGUCGGAAAAAUUCGCUGCCUUCUCAGGAUUCCCAUCCGAACUGUUUCCAGUAACCCUAGGAGAGACUGUGUCGCCAGAACUGCUCUGUGAGAUUUGCUCUUCGGUUAGUAUAGUCUGUCCAAAAAGCACAAACUGAG
RNAcentral lists this unclassified non-coding RNA (259 nucleotides) under Hevea brasiliensis (rubber tree). The record is from RNAcentral. Lineage: Eukaryota; Viridiplantae; Streptophyta; Magnoliopsida; Malpighiales; Euphorbiaceae.